Molecule: ribosomal RNA, 483 nt
Filed under: uncultured bacterium
Lineage: Bacteria
Description: bacterial SSU rRNA
Rfam family: Bacterial small subunit ribosomal RNA
Source: RNAcentral
AUUGAACGCUGGCGGCAGGCCUAACACAUGCAAGUCGAGCGCGAAAAUUCCUUCGGGGAUGAGUAGAGCGGCGGACGGGUGAGUAAUGCGCAGAAAUCUGCCCAGUAGUGGGGGACAACCUGGUGAAAACCAGGCUAAUACCGCAUACGCCCUACGGGGGAAAGCAGGGGAUCUUCGGACCUUGCGCUAUUGGAUGAGUCUGCGUCGGAUUAGCUUGUUGGUGAGGUAAUGGCUCACCAAGGCGACGAUCCGUAGCUGGUCUGAGAGGAUGAUCAGCCACACUGGGACUGAGACACGGCCCAGACUCCUACGGGAGGCAGCAGUGGGGAAUAUUGGACAAUGGGCGAAAGCCUGAUCCAGCCAUGCCGCGUGUGUGAAGAAGGCUCUAGGGUUGUAAAGCACUUUCAGUGGGGAAGAAAGCUUGUUAGCUAAUAACUGACGAGUGUGACAUUACCCACAGAAGAAGCACCGGCUAACUCCGUG